RNAcentral lists this long non-coding RNA (899 nucleotides) under Homo sapiens (human). RNAcentral describes it as "non-protein coding LINC01449:1". The record is from RNAcentral. Lineage: Eukaryota; Metazoa; Chordata; Mammalia; Primates; Hominidae.
AAAAUCAGCAGAGUUUGUAGGUUCAUCCUCCGCCAAAAUAUGAGUGGCUUUUCACCGGCGAAGUUUUUCAACCGCCUGGAAGAAGCCAUUUGAGGUUUUUGCUGGGCUGAAUGUACAUUUUUUGGACACUAAAAAAGCACAAGGGUCAACAUGAUAGCCACAUAUGGAAGGGGCGUGGAGAAGAAAGGAUAGGGGAAAAAGAAGAAAGGUUGUUUUUACCAUCAGCCCCGUGUUGAAGUCAACAGGAAAUGGCCCAGUGUGGAUCAACCACCAUACUGUCCCGAGUAAAAGGGAAUGAUGAUCUCUUCUGAGUGACUUAAGAGUUAAUCAGGACCAGGUCGAGAGUUUAUCACCCAGAGUUCCAUGUUUGAAUUUUGGAGAAUUCCCUUUGUUUCAUUUCAGCACAUUCACUUCAGUGCCCGUGUCUAUUUUAAUAGCCUGGAAUGCAAUUCCCUUUGCCCAUUAUUCUCUUUCACUAUGGGUUUUUCCGACCCUCGGGGUAGAUUUAUGCUUCUAGUUGAAUGAUUACUCAGUGAAUGUUUGCCAAGGGAUGUUCUGUUCCAAGAAUGACACAUCUCUUUGGGGAUGACUCUUUACCUAACCAGGGUGGGUGGGAGGUCAGGGGAAGCCCCUACCCAGAAGAAAAUAGUUUCUUUGUGUGCUUGAAGAAAAACACUCAGAUGAUGAACAGCCUGAUUUGGGGGCUGUGUGUGGGUGAGCCACUCCAGUGAAGUCGUCCUCAACGCUCCCUCAGAAGGAGAUUAUGAAUUUAAUGAGCAGAAGAAUUCUGACAAGCCUUAAAGCCAAAGGCAAUUAGCAAAGGAUGAAUAACUUGAAUUCUUUGCAGUUAUGAAAUAAUUUCAUCCUAAUGAAAUUACACAUGCAUAUAUCUUUAAAAU